Ictidomys tridecemlineatus (thirteen-lined ground squirrel) is the source of this 343-nucleotide non-coding RNA. The record is from RefSeq and is a predicted model, not a curated record. Lineage: Eukaryota; Metazoa; Chordata; Mammalia; Rodentia; Sciuridae.
UGGAUGAUGGGAGUAGGCUGAGGAAGAAAAAGAGAAAGGUAAUGAAUUCCAGCAGAACUCAAGGUUUUGUAGAAUUGUGAAACAAAGAAGAAAAACUUCUCAAUAACUGAAAAUUUGAGUAACAGCUCCAAUGUCUUCUUGGAUUUGGAUGAAACCAGGGUCAUCUGAAAAGACUUCUCAAGUUCCAUAUGAGGAGAAAGCAGCUCUACCCCGAUGGAGGAAUGACAAGGUUCUGCAGGAGCAUGUGGACCUCAAAAUAUUGCCGCAGCCGUGUUGGUAAAUGCAAUCGGCCACUUACCUCCUCUGCAGUCCCCUGAAAUGUCUGCUCUUGGAAAAAAAACGA